AAAAUUCUAUAAUACACGUUCAAGAAUUAUUUUAAAUAUUAAUGAUGAUUUUUGUUGAUUGUCUCAUUAAUUGUUUUGUAACCCGACCGGAGGAUAUGAUGAAUCGAACUGAACCGAGGGGAUAACCAAACUCGACUUAGAAAGCUUCUGAUCGGUCCAACUCUCUUAACUGAAACCAAACCGGAAACCUUUUAUCUCUCGGUUUGGUUCGGUUCAGAUUAUUACUGCAGGCCUAGAAUGAAAUGUUGAAUGCCCGUACCAACCGCUUGGUCUAGUGAUCAUGUGAAAAUGAGUAAACCAAAUUGAAAUCCCUAGAUUUGCGAGAGUGGAUCGGUCAUAGAGCUCAGUUUACGGUGGUGAAUCCAGUGAGCCAUGAGCCAUGAGACCACAAUUGGAGAAGAUGUGAAGCAAAAGCAGAUCGAGAACCAUCAAAAUUAGACCUUGCCCUUCCACGAACCCAGGUUGUGUAUCGACGAAUCCGACCUCAUCUUCCUUCUCAUUUCCAUUGACGAUCCGUGAAACCGAUGCACAGGAUCCCAUUCAGGUUCAUGGAUCUCAAAUGCAAAGCAACAUGGACACGCUUAUUCAACAUAGUCAAGGACCAAAGUAAACAAUGAGAUUCCUUAUGAGAUCUUAAAGAACAUUUUCAUACAAUAUAGUACAAACAGGAUCUUAACUUAGAUUCGUCAUACGAUAAAGUAAACCCGUCUCUUAGAUAGGCGAAUGAAACAACCAUGGAGAUAUUGAAAAGGUUUCAUCCUCGAUGUAAAAGGUAUAAUGUUUCUUGAUGUGCUGUUUUUUUCUUUUGCAUGUGUUGACAUGUUAUAUAUAGAGGUUGUAGAUGUUUAGGGUUAGGUUUGAUUGUAAAGCGAAAAAAUCUUGGUGAUCAAGUUCAAAAUCUUGAAAAUC
Molecule: long non-coding RNA, 909 nt
Organism: Arabidopsis lyrata subsp. lyrata
Lineage: Eukaryota; Viridiplantae; Streptophyta; Magnoliopsida; Brassicales; Brassicaceae
Exons: 4
Source: RefSeq, a predicted model, not a curated record